UACAGAGGUCUCAAGCGUUGUUCGGAUUCAUUGGGCGUAAAGGGUGCGUAGGUGGCUCGCUAAGUCUGGUGUGAAAUUUCGGAGCUCAACUCCGAAACUGCAUUUGAUACUGGCGUGCUUGAGGACUGGAGAGGAGACUGGAAUUCACGGUGUAGCAGUGAAAUGCGUAGAUAUCGUGAGGAAGACCAGUGGCGAAGGCGGGUCCCUGGACAGUCCCUGACACUGAGGCACGAAGGCCAGGGGAGCAAACGGG
RNAcentral lists this ribosomal RNA (253 nucleotides) under uncultured bacterium. RNAcentral's name for it is "partial 16S ribosomal RNA". It matches the Rfam family "Bacterial small subunit ribosomal RNA", at positions 524 to 776 of the family's 1533-position model. The record is from RNAcentral.